This 425-nucleotide ribosomal RNA is filed under the name uncultured bacterium. RNAcentral's name for it is "bacterial SSU rRNA". It matches the Rfam family "Bacterial small subunit ribosomal RNA", at positions 355 to 772 of the family's 1533-position model. The record is from RNAcentral.
UGGGGAAUUUUGGACAAUGGGCGCAAGCCUGAUCCAGCCAUUCCGCGUGAGUGCAGAAGGCCUUCGGGUUGUAAAGCUCUUUCAGCAGGAACGAAACGGUCCGCUCUAACAUAGCGGACUACUGACGGUACCUGAAGAAGACGCACCGGCUAACUACGUGCCAGCAGCCGCGGUAAUACGUAGGGUGCGAGCGUUAAUCGGAAUUACUGGGCGUAAAGCGUGCGCAGGCGGCUUUUUAAGCCAGAUGUGAAAUCCCCGGGCUUAACCUGGGAACUGCAUUUGGAACUGGAAGGCUAGAGUGCGGCAGAGGGGGGUAGAAUUCCACGUGUAGCAGUGAAAUGCGUAGAGAUGUGGAGGAAUACCGAUGGCGAAGGCAGCCCCCUGGGUCGACACUGACGCUCAUGCACGAAAGCGUGGGGAGCAAA